CCGGCACGGGUGAGUAACACGUAUGCAAUCCACCUGUAACAGGGGAGUAACCGGAGAAAUCCGACUAAUACCCAUAAUAUGGGCGCUCCGCAUGGAGAGCCCAUUAAAGAGAGCAAUUUUGGUUUACAGACGAGCAUGCGCUCCAUUAGCCAGUUGGCGGGGUAACGGCCCACCAAAGCGACGAUGGAUAGGGGUUCUGAGAGGAAGGUCCCCCACAUUGGAACUGAGACACGGUCCAA
This 239-nucleotide ribosomal RNA is filed under the name uncultured bacterium. RNAcentral's name for it is "partial 16S ribosomal RNA". It matches the Rfam family "Bacterial small subunit ribosomal RNA", at positions 100 to 334 of the family's 1533-position model. The record is from RNAcentral.